This is a long non-coding RNA of Coregonus clupeaformis (lake whitefish), 1434 nucleotides long. RefSeq lists it as uncharacterized. The record is from RefSeq and is a predicted model, not a curated record. The transcript is spliced from 3 exons. Lineage: Eukaryota; Metazoa; Chordata; Actinopteri; Salmoniformes; Salmonidae.
UAUAUUUAGAAAAUGAUCAAAAACGAUGUACUAUUAGCUAUCUAGCUUGCUACAGAAACUUAGUGUGCAGGCUAACUCAAAUGAGCUGCUAACAUAAUGUUCGCUGGUUAGCUAACUUUACAUACUGUAUAGCUAGCUAAGUGAAUUAAAUAUCACCAGCUUACUAACUUCAUAUUAGCUAGUUAUCUUGAUGUAUUUAUCGUUGUAACUCUAAAUGCAUGUGUAGCUAGCUAACAGCCAUGGAAUAGAAUGAAAGGAUUAGCUAGCAGUUCCAGCUGUCAGAAGGGAGAGUAGGCUACUCUGGAUAGGGCAGGUACCUUUGUGGGAGGACAUUAUGAAAAUAUUCUCCAGUUCCAGUCCCUAGCGAGAAAAACUGAAGACAGAGAGAUAUACUGCCCUACCAAGCAAAAAGGCAGUAACUGCUCAUAGUGUGGAACUGAGGAAAAUGGCUUUAAUUUACCUUGGUUUCACAGUAACCUUAUGCAGUUACUGCUAACAUGACCCCCAUUUUCUCCAAAACACAAUACAAUAGAGGCAGGAUACUUGUCCACAUGAUUAAGCAUGUGUUUAAUGUAGCAAAAAUGACUAACUAAUUUUCGACCAAAUGAGCACUUACUGCAUUUUUGCUUGGUAGGGCAGUAUAGCUAUCAACAUAAUAUUCAGUACUGUCUAAUUUGAGUAUAAUGCAGCCUGUUUCUUUUGUGAUAUAUUCUGUCCUCAGAUACAGAGAGCCGUAAAGCCCUGUCUGCAGAUGAAGAGGUCCCAAUGAAUGUCCCAAGAGAGUACGGCAUAAACCUGUUCUCCACCACCAGUACAAGGACAUGCACGAGGGUGAACAAGCAACACUUUAGCUUAAAUUGUCUGGAGCUUGGGGUUGUUGUAGCCAGGGCACUUCCACUCAGAUGGACCCAGGUUUCAGCUGCUGUGCAAGACGUGGACGUCCUUCGUCCCAGAGAUGUGCAAGCAUCCCUUGGACUGGACACAAUCCGGCAAACAUAUAUUUUUAAGAAGAUCAGGACUUUUGCAAUGAAAAGGCCAUGGACAUUACAGUCCUGCUCCAAAGGGCAGGACAGAAAUAUACUCUCAGGCUAGAUUCCUUUGUAACAUGACCUGAACCAAAGUCACUCAAAGGAACUUAUUAUAAAAGCCUAGGUCUAGAUCGUUUUUUUUUUUUUUACUUUAUGUGUUGUGUGUUUACAUUUCUUCCUAAUUUUAGGCUACUACCUUUAGCACUUGAAGUUAAUAAAGUAUUUCAAUGUUAUAAUAUUUUCUUUAUUUUAAGCUUUACCUCACCGCUUUAGCACUAUGCCAGAGUCACGUGUCUUCACAUGUGAAUUCUUUAAGAGAUGGGUGGGUAUAAGUCUUAAGAGGGUGUGAACGAUGCUAAAUGGGCAUAAACAAAGAGCAGCACUGUAGCUGUUAAAUGUAAAAGGU